This 744-nucleotide ribosomal RNA is filed under the name uncultured bacterium. RNAcentral's name for it is "bacterial SSU rRNA". It matches the Rfam family "Bacterial small subunit ribosomal RNA", at positions 62 to 806 of the family's 1533-position model. The record is from RNAcentral.
ACGGACUCUAUUGAACCUAGUGAUGUAUGAGUUAGUGGCGGACGGGUGAGUAACGCGUGGAGAACCUGCCGUAUACUGGGGGAUAACACUUAGAAAUAGGUGCUAAUACCGCAUAAGCGCACAGCUUCGCAUGAAGCAGUGUGAAAAACUCCGGUGGUAUACGAUGGAUCCGCGUCUGAUUAGCUUGUUGGCGGGGUAAAGGCCCACCAAGGCGACGAUCAGUAGCCGGCCUGAGAGGGUGAACGGCCACAUUGGGACUGAGACACGGCCCAAACUCCUACGGGAGGCAGCAGUGGGGAAUAUUGCACAAUGGGGGAAACCCUGAUGCAGCGACGCCGCGUGAGUGAAGAAGUAUUUCGGUACGUAAAGCUCUAUCAGCAGGGAAGAAAUAAAGUCCUUCGGACUUUGGACGGUACCUGACUAAGAAGCCCCGGCUAACUACGUGCCGGCAGCCGCGGUAAUACGUAGGGGGCAAGCGUUAUCCGGAUUUACUGGGUGUAAAGGGAGCGUAGACGGCAGCGCAAGUCUGGAGUGAAAUCCCAUGGCUUAACCAUGGAACUGCUUUGGAAACUGUGCAGCUAGAGUGCAGGAGAGGUAAGCGGAAUUCCUAGUGUAGCGGUGAAAUGCGUAGAUAUUAGGAGGAACACCAGUGGCGAAGGCGGCUUACUGGACUGUAACUGACGUUGAGGCUCGAAAGCGUGGGGAGCAAACAGGAUUAGAUACCCUGGUAGUCCACGCUGUAAA